UAUUGCGCAAUGGGGGAAACCCUGACGCAGCCACGCCGCGUGCAGGAAGAAGGCCUUCGGGUUGUAAACUGUUGUCGCAGGGGAAGAAGACAGUGACGGUACCCUGUGAGAAAGUCACGGCUAACUACGGGCCAGCAGCCGCGGUAAUACGUAGGUGACAAUCGUUGUCCGGAUUUACUGGGUGUAAAGGGCGCGUAGGCGGGAUAGCAAGUCGUUCGUGAAAUGCCGAGGCUUAACCUCGGAGCUGCGAUUGAAACUGUUAUUCUUGAGUAUCGGAGAGGAAAGCGGAAUUCCUAGUGUAGCGGUGAAAUGCGUAGAUAUUAGGAGGAACACCAGUGGCGAAGGCGGCUUUCUGGACGACAACUGACGCUGAGGCGCGAAAGUGUGGGGAGCAA
RNAcentral lists this ribosomal RNA (395 nucleotides) under uncultured bacterium. Its description in RNAcentral is "bacterial SSU rRNA". It matches the Rfam family "Bacterial small subunit ribosomal RNA", at positions 362 to 771 of the family's 1533-position model. The record is from RNAcentral.